Non-coding RNA from Podarcis lilfordi (Lilford's wall lizard), 77 nucleotides. Lineage: Eukaryota; Metazoa; Chordata; Lepidosauria; Squamata; Lacertidae. The record is from the annotation of a GenBank genome assembly.
GGGGAAGGCCUGUAGCUCAGCGGUAGAGCAUCUGCCUUGUGUGCAGUCAGUCCCAGGUUCAAUCCCCAGCUUCUCCA